UUGUGUGGUACAGUUGGUAUCUGAUCAGAGUCCUGUCUUCAGUACUUUGAAAAGGAUCGGUUGGAAGACUUAAAAUAGGU
Non-coding RNA from Sus scrofa (pig), 80 nucleotides. Lineage: Eukaryota; Metazoa; Chordata; Mammalia; Artiodactyla; Suidae. The record is from RefSeq and is marked provisional.